CCAGGGGUCCUGAGGGGGGACCCUGGGGUGGGCUCUGUAGCCUGCUGGGUCUCUCCUUCUGGUGGAUCUAGGGACCAUUCUUGGUACACAUCAACUGGUGGGAUUGAAAAGGGAGCAGAGACACUAAGGGGAUGACUGGGAUCUCCCUUCCCUGAAGUUUGAGGGGACAAGACACCCAGCCAGCAGGCAGCACUCAGAGGAAAGUUGCUCAGCUGGCCAGGCAGGUCUGUCUCAGCAGUAACAGGACACAGGAGGACGCAGCAGCAGUUAACCCCUUCCUGCUGGCUGGUCAGACGGUGCCUAGGGGGCGGGAAGCCUGCCUGCUGGCUGUACCCAGGAGAUGUUCACUUAGAGCCAGUGCUGUGGCCCCCUUCCACUCCACGGUCCUGGGUCAGGGAGAUUGCAUGGAGAUUGACCUGCAAAAUGGCACCUCCCAGCAGUGUGGGAUGGGUUCCAAACUGCCAAGACUCCCUGAAGAUCCCAGCAUUCAAAGACUUGAAGAAGAAGGUGGGGACCAAGGAGCUGAGCGCAUUGUAAGAAUGAGAUUAUUUAGGGGUCUACUACAGUGAUGCAAUAGUUGAGGGCAAGAGUGACUCCCAGGACUGGAGAAAAGUGAAGCGAGCUGAGCCAGUUUCUCCCAUGUGACAUGCCAAUGCUCAGUACUGAGCUCACAGAAGACUUCAGAAGAGGAUUCUUCUCCAAAGACAACACAGGUUCUGCCUUCCUUUCACAGAGGUGGGCUAACAGUUUCAAAAGUCUGUUAAUUUCUCUGACUGCGUUCCUGUCUGCUGCCCACUGGUUCAGAAUAGUUUGAUGUCCACCCUAAGAAAAUAAAUCAAAAUAAAAACUA
This is a long non-coding RNA of Erinaceus europaeus (western European hedgehog), 850 nucleotides long. RefSeq lists it as uncharacterized. The record is from RefSeq and is a predicted model, not a curated record. The transcript is spliced from 5 exons. NCBI's taxonomy places the organism in Eukaryota, Metazoa, Chordata, Mammalia, Eulipotyphla, Erinaceidae.